GACGAACGCUGGCGGCGUGCUUAACACAUGCAAGUCGAACGGAAAGGCCCUGCUUUUGUGGGGUGCUCGAGUGGCGAACGGGUGAGUAACACGUGAGUAACCUGCCCUUGACUUUGGGAUAACUUCAGGAAACUGGGGCUAAUACCGGAUAGGAGCUCCUGCUGCAUGGUGGGGGUUGGAAAGUUUCGGCGGUUGGGGAUGGACUCGCGGCUUAUCAGCUUGUUGGUGGGGUAGUGGCUUACCAAGGCUUUGACGGGUAGCCGGCCUGAGAGGGUGAACGGCGACAAUGGGACUACGAUACGGACCAGACUGCUACGGGAGGCAACAGUGGGGAAUAUUGCACAAUGGGAGGAAGCCUGAGGCAGAAACGCCGGGUGCGGGAUGACGGCCUUCGGGUUGUAAACCGCUUUAGCCUGUGACGAAGCGUGAGUGACGGUAAUGGGUAAAGAAGCACCGGCUAACUACGUG
Molecule: ribosomal RNA, 468 nt
Filed under: uncultured bacterium
Lineage: Bacteria
Description: partial 16S ribosomal RNA
Rfam family: Bacterial small subunit ribosomal RNA
Source: RNAcentral